CACGGGGGAUGCGAGCGUUAUCCGGAUUUAUUGGGUUUAAAGGGCGCGUAGGCGGGAUGCCAAGUCAGCGGUAAAAGACUGCAGCUAAACUGUAGCACGCCGUUGAAACUGGUGACCUCGAGACGAGUCGAGGAUGGCGGAACAAGUGAAGUAGCGGUGAAAUGCUUAGAUAUCACUUGGAACCCCGAUAGCGAAGGCAGCUGUCCAGACUCGAUCUGACGCUGAUGCGCGAGAGCGUGGGUAGCGAA
Molecule: ribosomal RNA, 248 nt
Filed under: uncultured Butyricimonas sp.
Lineage: Bacteria; Pseudomonadati; Bacteroidota; Bacteroidia; Bacteroidales; Odoribacteraceae
Description: partial 16S ribosomal RNA
Rfam family: Bacterial small subunit ribosomal RNA
Source: RNAcentral